This 288-nucleotide unclassified non-coding RNA is filed under the name Hevea brasiliensis (rubber tree). The record is from RNAcentral. Lineage: Eukaryota; Viridiplantae; Streptophyta; Magnoliopsida; Malpighiales; Euphorbiaceae.
AGAUAAGCCUGUGAAUACUCCCCCAACAUCCACUCUAGAACACUUGCAAGCCAGUAGUCAACUUUUGCAAGAGCAGAGGGGAGGAGGAUUUUCGAAAUAAGAGAUCGCUCUAAUGUUCCACCAUAACCGUCAACAAGACGACAAAUAACAAGGGCAAGCUGCUCAUCCCCAAGAUUCUUUGCACAAACAGUAACAGCAGACGUUGUAUCGCCUCCAAGCAAAAAGAAAGCAAUCGCGAGCUCCAACUGAUGUUUCCCCAGUAAGACAUAGGCAUUCUUUAGAGCAGCA